GUGCUUGUUUGGGGAGCACAUAACACUAAAAUUGGAACAAUGCAGAGAUUAGCAUGGCCCCUGAGCAAAGGACGACAUACAAAUUCAGAAAGUGUUCCAGAUAUAU
RNAcentral lists this small nuclear RNA (106 nucleotides) under Phascolarctos cinereus (koala). Lineage: Eukaryota; Metazoa; Chordata; Mammalia; Diprotodontia; Phascolarctidae. The record is from RNAcentral.